Molecule: long non-coding RNA, 355 nt
Filed under: Marmota monax (woodchuck)
Lineage: Eukaryota; Metazoa; Chordata; Mammalia; Rodentia; Sciuridae
Source: RNAcentral
GUUCCCCAGGUUUGGGCAUUCUAGGUUCACUAGUUUGCUGUCAGUAUUUCAGUUUUUAUUUUAAGGUUUCACUUCAUUUUGAACUAUAUGGGUAAAUGGAAAUGGAGCUGGAAAUCAAACAGGGUUUUUGCUAGCUGCUUGAAACUUCACAUACUCAAUCAGUUCUCUGUGCGGACACUCUGGUUUUAUCAUUGUGAAAGUAUCCCAAAGAUGAGGCAUGCAAAAACAACACUAUGCAAGGACAUUUUAGGAGACAACAGGGAAAAUAUGCAUGUACUGAACUACCUCCCCCAAUCAUUUGGUCAGAUUUCUUUCAUACUGGGCAGAGUUCAUCUGUUAGCUUUCCCCAAUAGGC